RNAcentral lists this ribosomal RNA (428 nucleotides) under uncultured Acidobacteriota bacterium. Its description in RNAcentral is "bacterial SSU rRNA". It matches the Rfam family "Bacterial small subunit ribosomal RNA", at positions 353 to 772 of the family's 1533-position model. Lineage: Bacteria; Pseudomonadati; Acidobacteriota. The record is from RNAcentral.
AGUGGGGAAUUGUUCGCAAUGGGCGCAAGCCUGACGACGCAACGCCGCGUGGAGGAUGAAGAAUUUCGGUUCGUAAACUCCUUUCGACCGAGAUGAACAUCCCGCGAUCCAAUACAUCGCGGGACUGACAGUAUCGAGAGAAGAAGCCCCGGCUAACUCUGUGCCAGCAGCCGCGGUAAUACAGAGGGGGCAAGCGUUGUUCGGAAUUACUGGGCGUAAAGGGUUCGUAGGUGGCCGACUAAGUCAUACGUGAAAUCCCUCAGCUUAACUGGGGAACUGCGUCUGAUACUGGUUGGCUUGAGUGCAGGAGAGGAAUGCGGAAUUCCAGGUGUAGCGGUGAAAUGCGUAGAUAUCUGGAGGAACACCGGUGGCGAAGGCGGCAUUCUGGACUGCAACUGACACUGAGGAACGAAAGCCAGGGGAGCAAA